GGCUGGUUAGCUCAAUUGGUGAGAGCACGGUACUUAUAAGGCCAAGGUCAUGGGUUCAAUACCCGUAUUGGCCA
Non-coding RNA from Gambusia affinis (western mosquitofish), 74 nucleotides. The record is from the annotation of a RefSeq genome assembly. NCBI's taxonomy places the organism in Eukaryota, Metazoa, Chordata, Actinopteri, Cyprinodontiformes, Poeciliidae.